This 689-nucleotide ribosomal RNA is filed under the name uncultured bacterium. RNAcentral describes it as "bacterial SSU rRNA". It matches the Rfam family "Bacterial small subunit ribosomal RNA", at positions 87 to 795 of the family's 1533-position model. The record is from RNAcentral.
CGGUAAGAGCGGCGGACGGGUGAGUAACGCGUGGGUAACCUACCCUGUACACACGGAUAACAUACCGAAAGGUAUGCUAAUACGGGAUAAUAUAUUUGAGAGGCAUCUCUUGAAUAUCAAAGGUGAGCCAGUACAGGAUGGACCCGCGUCUGAUUAGCUAGUUGGUAAGGUAACGGCUAACCAAGGCGACGAUCAGUAGCCGACCUGAGAGGGUGAUCGGCCACAUUGGAACUGAGACACGGUCCAAACUCCUACGGGAGGCAGCAGUGGGGAAUAUUGCACAAUGGGCGAAAGCCUGAUGCUGCAACGCCGCGUGAGUGAUGAAGGCCUUCGGGUCGUAAAACUCUGUCCUCAAGGAAGAUAAUGACGGUACUUGAGGAGGAAGCCCCGGCUAACUACGUGCCAGCAGCCGCGGUAAUACGUAGGGGGCUAGCGUUAUCCGGAUUUACUGGGCGUAAAGGGUGCGUAGGCGGUCUUUCAAGUCAGGAGUGAAAGGCUACGGCUCAACCGUAGUAAGCUCUUGAAACUGGGAGACUUGAGUGCAGGAGAGGAGAGUGGAAUUCCUAGUGUAGCGGUGAAAUGCGUAGAUAUUAGGAGGAACACCAGUUGCGAAGGCGGCUCUCUGGACUGUAACUGACGCUGAGGCACGAAAGCGUGGGGAGCAAACAGGAUUAGAUACCCUGGUAGUC